UGUCUCUUCGAAGACAUUCUAUAAAUUAGAACAAUACAAAGAAGAUUAGCAUGGCCCUACGCAAGGAUGACAUGCACAAAUUGAGAAAUAAUCCAUUUUUUA
Molecule: non-coding RNA, 102 nt
Organism: Zea mays
Lineage: Eukaryota; Viridiplantae; Streptophyta; Magnoliopsida; Poales; Poaceae
Source: Rfam